ACCUCAUGCUUAUUUACUUCAUUCCUCAUAGAGAGCACGGGUUCCUCCUCCCCAUUAACAUUUAGGGAUCUUCCUCUGUCUGCUUCAACCCAGACAGAGCACACCGACACCACAUUGCCCUCAGCAGCAUCCUGAGAAGCCAAACUCGGCUGCCAUUCUCCCACACACAGAGAGAGAAAGGAGAACAGAAAACAGUUAAAAACGACAGUUACUUGAAUAACAGUCACAACAGAAUGGAAUGCCUCUCUCAUGUGACUCACAGCCAGCCAAUCACAUUUCAGGAAAUUAAAAUUAUUAUCCUUAACACUGGCAGGCCUCGUCCUAGAAGCUCUUUGAGUUAGGAUGAAAUGUAUGUAGAACAGGGCUGCUGUUGUUGUUUUGCAAGAUGGCUAGCAUUCCUGUUUGCAUCAGCCGGUUAUAGAACGUCUGGUGCACAGACCUUGACCAAGCUGUGCCUUCUCAGCCCAUCCCCAAAAGCCCAAAGAAGCAUAAAAUAAAUAAACCCCUACGAAUGCCAGUAGAUUGGUCUUUAAAGGUACUGCAGCCAAAUUGUGAUGGAAAAGGCCAUAAAUCAAAGUACGGGCAGGCCAUUGCUCUUGAUGGAGACAUAAGCCUCCCACCCCCUGUAGCUCCCGCAAGAGAGAGAGAAAGAGAGAGAUUUUUCCACCGCCAUAUAUGGGAAAGGGCCCUGCACGAAAUGGCAAACUAAUGACUGAAGAGCCAGGGAUACACAAGAGAGGAUAAUAGAGGCUCUUCCCUACCCCAGUCACGACCCGCUUCCCCAGACUAACUGAUUGCCGUUUCACAGCUGAUGCCCUUAAAGAGAAACACGCGGUUCCUGCCAGCCAGAGACAUGUGCUCGCAUUUCUAAGCCUCCUGCUACACUGAUGCUUCCAAAUUCCCAUUAUGCCAAUCCACCUUUUGUCUUCCCAUCCGACUCUGACGGGUGGGAGAGGGAGGGAAGGUGAUGUAUUUAUCACCCCUGCAUAAUGAAGGCUCUUUCAUCAACCCACAUACAUUUGAUUCACAGCUGGAGGCAAAAGUCUCACACUGUGCAUUGAUUUAUGCAAGAUUCUUUAUUAAAAAACAGGAGCCCAGGAGCUGAAAUGGGUUUGUUCUCUCUCACAUACACACACAAUAUCACACAUUCACACAACACACACACACACACUUGUGUGGCAGUUGCUUCAGGCUAAAGGUGCAGCUUACAGUGGGAUCCACUUCUUUCAACUUUGACCCAGACUUCUUCAUCUAGCUAAUGUCUCUGCUUCAUAGUUGGCAGAAUUUUUUGUAUAAAAGAUGCCCAGUUAGUAAGGGGGUGGGGGACUUUGGUAAUAUAGCACUCUGAGUGAGGACAAAAUCCCCCCCCCUUAUUUUCACAAUAAUUCCUUUUGGUACAGUUGCUUUUUAAAUGGAUCUUCUCAGUAAGUACCUGAAUAAAUAUAGGAUGGUGAUGAUGAUGAUGAUGAUGAUGAUGAUGGUGUGCCCCCUCAGCUUGGUGCCCUGUGUGGGAGAACUGAUCACACAACUCUAAAGCCAGUGCUGAGUUAGCUCACUUCAUUCUUAAUAGGCUUUGCAGCCCCCUGCUGUUUACCACCUAACUGGUGCUUUAUUCCCUAUUCUCUUCCCUUAUUUUCAGGAAACAUAAGUGUCAGGGAACUGCCAUCAGUGCCGGAGGGAGAGAGCAAAAUCCAGAGGGAUUCUGGAG
RNAcentral lists this long non-coding RNA (1708 nucleotides) under Podarcis lilfordi (Lilford's wall lizard). The record is from RNAcentral. Lineage: Eukaryota; Metazoa; Chordata; Lepidosauria; Squamata; Lacertidae.